Phragmites australis (common reed) is the source of this 1431-nucleotide long non-coding RNA. RefSeq lists it as uncharacterized. The record is from RefSeq and is a predicted model, not a curated record. Lineage: Eukaryota; Viridiplantae; Streptophyta; Magnoliopsida; Poales; Poaceae. The transcript has 6 exons.
GGAGCUGUAUGUUUUGUGUGUAAUCUACUUGGGAUAUUGAUUCGUGGAGCUGUCUGUUUUGUGUGUAAUUUGCUUGGGAUCUUGUUUUCUGGACCUCUCGGCUUUCUCAACAUGUGCUUCCUGCAUCACAGCUUAAGUGACGAAAAGCCCUGAUUGUGCAAGGGUUUACCUUGAACGAAUAAGGAAGGGUGAGAUGCACUGUUGAGUGCUACAACAUCAACUAUUAAUGAGGUGAAAGGAUAUCUUGAUUGCCGAUACAAGUAUUUCAUUGGUGCAUGCCUCUUGGUUUUCUGAAAUUCUAAUUAUGCUUUUUUUCAUAUGUUGCCUAUGACUAUACCACUGUGUAGCUAACUGGCAAAAACUAUGUGUCAGAUGUUGUUGGAUGAUCACAGAGGUUUCUGAGCUGGCUAGAGUACAGCUUUAUAAUCAAAACAAGCCUAUAGUUCGUAGGACAAUUACAUUAAAAGACACAAGCAACUAUGUGAUGAAUCUUUAUAUACAUGCGGUCAGAGGGCUUCUGAUGCUUAUGGGAUGUACGCAGCUGGCCAAGAUGAAACGGUUAUUGCUAUCUUUGUUUGCACACUGAUGAAGUCUUACAAAGGUGAGCAUUCACUCAGUGGAAAUACAACCUGUCGAUGGUAUAUUAAUCCUGAUGUUCCCGAGAUCCAUGCUUUCUAGACAGCCUGCAUGGUGAGUUCCAGUCUAUGCAAUGUGUCAGAGCGGAUGAACAAUCAGUUAUUGCUCGGCCUGUGAUUGCUGAACCUUGGAUGAAAUCUUUGGAAGAGCUGUUCUAGAACAGUCCAUAUGGAUUUCCACCUGAAGGUUUCUGAUGUACCGUUACCAUUUCAAGAACCGAUCCAUUCAUAUCUUGGUAGUUGCCCUCGUGUUCAACCGGUGCGUUAAGACCGCGCUUCCAGAUGGAAAUGGAUAUAAAUGUCCACACUGCCAAUGCACAUGCUAUAAAUUCAAGUACAAGAUAUAUUUGAUUGGGACUGACGGGACAUAUGAAGCGGAGUUUGUGUUCUUUGGAGAUAUGAGUCGUUGCCUUGUUCGUAAGGAAGUCAAAAUGCCAAUGAGGGCGUGUCACUGGGCUGAUGGCAUCCCAAGUGAGAUAACAUUGCUGGUUUCCGAAAGUAUUCAUUCAUGAUUAAUGUGACCUGCAAAUGUUUUGAGAAACCAUAGCGAUCAUACCAAGUGAACAACAUCAACUGUGUCUACGGUAGAUAGCCUACAAUUCCAACAGUGCAGAAAUCUAGUGGUAGGUCUGUUGAUAGCGGAGGCAAAGCUAUCAUAUUGCAUGGAUCAUCAUCCAGUAAGGUAGCGUUUGGUUGGUUGAAUGAAAUUGAAUGAGAUGGGAUGUCUUGGAUGGGAUGAGUAAGGUAGCGUUUGGUUGGUUGAAUGAAGUUGAAUGAGAUGGGAUGUCUUGGAUGG